UGGGGAAUUUUGGACAAUGGGCGAAAGCCUGAUCCAGCAAUGCCGCGUGUGUGAAGAAGGCCUUCGGGUUGUAAAGCACUUUUGUCCGGAAAGAAAUCCUCUGGGUUAAUACCUCGGGGGGAUGACGGUACCGGAAGAAUAAGCACCGGCUAACUACGUGCCAGCAGCCGCGGUAAUACGUAGGGUGCAAGCGUUAAUCGGAAUUACUGGGCGUAAAGCGUGCGCAGGCGGUUUUGUAAGACGGAUGUGAAAUCCCCGGGCUUAACCUGGGAACUGCAUUCGUGACUGCAAGGCUAGAGUAUGGCAGAGGGGGGUAGAAUUCCACGUGUAGCAGUGAAAUGCGUAGAGAUGUGGAGGAAUACCGAUGGCGAAGGCAGCCCCCUGGGCCAAAUACUGACGCUCAUGCACGAAAGCGUGGGGAGCAAACAGGAUUAGAUACCCUGGUAGUCCACGCCCUAAACGAUGUCAACUAGUUGUUGGGGAUUCAUUUCCUUAGUAACGUAGCUAACGCGUGAAGUUGACCGCCUGGGGAGUACGGUCGCAAGAUUAAAACUCAAAGGAAUUGACGGGGUCAUAGCUGUUUCC
RNAcentral lists this ribosomal RNA (585 nucleotides) under uncultured bacterium. Its description in RNAcentral is "partial 16S ribosomal RNA". It matches the Rfam family "Bacterial small subunit ribosomal RNA", at positions 355 to 937 of the family's 1533-position model. The record is from RNAcentral.